This is a non-coding RNA of Clostridium beijerinckii NCIMB 8052, 86 nucleotides long. NCBI's taxonomy places the organism in Bacteria, Bacillati, Bacillota, Clostridia, Eubacteriales, Clostridiaceae. The record is from Rfam.
AUAUUGAAUUGGCAAAGCAGUUGAAAAACUGUGACGCAAAGCUAGAGGGCCUUUUCCUUUUGAAAGGAUGGCAGCCAGUUGCAAGU